This 53-nucleotide microRNA precursor is filed under the name Ailuropoda melanoleuca (giant panda). Its description in RNAcentral is "mir-1302 microRNA precursor family". It matches the Rfam family "mir-1302 microRNA precursor family". Lineage: Eukaryota; Metazoa; Chordata; Mammalia; Carnivora; Ursidae. The record is from Rfam by way of RNAcentral.
UUUAAAGUAUAAGUAUGUCCUAUGCAAUAUUUGGGAUAUACUUAAUACUAAAC